This 1269-nucleotide long non-coding RNA is filed under the name Mytilus galloprovincialis (Mediterranean mussel). The record is from RNAcentral. Lineage: Eukaryota; Metazoa; Mollusca; Bivalvia; Mytilida; Mytilidae.
GCAAAAUUGUUAUUUGUCUGAUUGCAGUUCUACAUCAAUGAAAAAUGGAACGAAACAUACCUCAAAGUCAAGGUCAUUAACGAGGUUAACAUGUAAACGUGCUAUUCGUAAACUAGCUAGCAGUAAGUAUUAUGAGUUUACAUAAUAGGUUUUGCAUAGUCAGUGGACCGUGUUAAAUGGCGGGAAAUUUGAAAAAAGAGCGAUAUUUAAAAUUUGGUCAGUAGACGUUAUUAACAUUUUAGAUAUACUUGUUAUACAAUUAGUAUGGGUUUAUUCAUGAUAUCCGCCGAUUGGACGUCCAAUGUAUAUAAACCUUUGCCUUGCUGACCUAUAUUAGAGUAUAUCAAAGUUCAUUUCUCGUCUCCUCCGUUUUUUUGCAGUCGUAGAAUACUGAUAAUGCUUAAAUUGUGGCAUUUAUCAGUGGAGCAGAUCCAUAGAAAUAGAUCUAUAAGUUGAAACGGAAACGGCUACCGUUUAAAAAAAACUCAUUACAUUUUUUUCUCUUUAGGUUUGGGUUUCUUAAAUUACUUUUUUACUUUUUUUCUGUGAAGUGUUUUACAAACACUAUUUUUUUUCUUUGAUCGUUGUAUAAAAUACCUUUGGUGGCCGGUUAUGAUGUCAUUUCGCGUUUUUGCGUUUUCACCUUUUCGCGUUUUGCCCUUUAGAAUAUGAAAGGCGAAAAUGCGAAAUGGUCUUAAUUGGCCACCAUUGUUAUUCCACCACCUUCAUCCGAGUUUAUUUCUGAAAUAUAUUUACCUACGAUGCAUAUAACAAGUGUAUUCGUUGGGUCUUUCAUUACAAAAUUAGUUACAGAGUUGCAGCCGAUUGCAUUGAGUGCGUAGGCAAAGGUAAUAUCUUUGGUUAGCUUUCUUGCUAGCUGAACCGUGAAGUCAUUAUUAGGUAAAGUAUACUACCCACCUUUCGAAGUAGCCUAGUCCUACAGACAGAUAGUGUGUUUAUCUGUAGGACUAGGCUGAGGAGGGUGGUAUACUUUACGUAAUAAUGACUUCACGGUUCAGCUAGCAAGCAGCUAACCAAAUUAGGAUACUACAUUUUCUUACACACUCGAUGCAAUCGGCUGUAACAUAAUUUAAAUAAUUGCUAUGUUUUCCCAUUUCAGGAUUUGGUAGGUUAUUGUGUGUUAGGGACCCUUCUUAUUGUGGAGACGGAUGGCAGUAUGGAAAUAUAACUAAAACAUGGAUAUGGAUGGGAUGAAGAACUUUAAACAAAAUUCUGAAAAAAAUCAAAUAUAAUGAAAAGGAAAAAAAA